Molecule: non-coding RNA, 9154 nt
Organism: Monodelphis domestica (gray short-tailed opossum)
Lineage: Eukaryota; Metazoa; Chordata; Mammalia; Didelphimorphia; Didelphidae
Source: RefSeq, a predicted model, not a curated record
AAAAAAACAGGGAAGAAGACUGAGGAAGAAGAAUGGUAGAAGUUUGAGAUAGUGAUACAAUAUUCCAUUUAUUUGGUCUGUGAUCAGAGAACAGGAAAAAAGGAAAAUAAAGGGAGAUUUAAUACUUGCAUAUUAGAGGGGAGACUAGAAAGAAGAAAUUACCCAAAUUUAUACCUAUUUCCAGCUCAUUUUCACAUGAACCCAACCAUUACUUAGACCAUUAAAGCAGACUAAAAUAUUAAAGGAGAGAAACAUAGACUUAGAGCUGGAAGGGGACUUUUAAGGCUAUCUACUUCAACCCCCUUGUAUUGAAGGUAAGGAAUCAGAGGCCCAGAAAUGUUACUUGUACAAGAUCACACAGUGUAUAAGGCUGGAUUUGAACCCACAUUCAGUGCCUUACCUACUAUGCCAUAGUUGAAACUCUACAUGUUCUUUUUGGGUAUCCAGAGUAUUCCAGAAGGACUAGCACCAACUCCUGCUAGGGAGUUUGUCAAGCCCUUUUCAGGAUUACCUACCUUUGGUGUCCACCUUUCACCCAACUCUCACCUGUGGCUUUAAGAAGCUCCAGCAUAAGAAGUGGCCACAUCCCCAUAAAAUGUCCUGGCAGAAGGGCUAAACCAAGAUGAGGGUAACUGACAGGCUUCAAACCUCUUGGUGAGCUAAGAUGUCUACUCCAGGCAUGUGAAGACUUACCUCCCUCAGCACAAUGGAUUGAUGAGAAAAAUUUGUUCCAGUGGUCAUGAAGGCAACUGAAAGCAGGUACUGUAGAGUGCUCAAAGACUGGUCAGUCAUUGAAGAUGACAGUCAUCUGCUGUAUUCCAGGCCAUCGCCAAUCAGCCUAUCUUUUGUCUUGCCACUGGACUCCAAUGACUGGAAGAGAGAGAGAGGCUGAUGACUGUGAGACUGCCUCACUUAAGUCCAAUUCAUGUGCAAGUUAGAAUGUCACCUUGGGAUAUCGUAGGGCUUUUUCAACAAUAUAUCUUUUCAUAGAAUCAGAAUUUACUGCAAAUGGCAGAAUUAUUUUAUAAAAGUUAUGUUAUAUAAUUGAAGGGAACUGAAGAAGGCAACAGGUCAUCAUUAAAAAAGAACAUAUAUAAAUAACUCUCACUUCUCUAAUUUAUGUUUUAAUACAUGUUCUUAAUUUAUAUUAUCAAUGAUGAAUUCUGAGUAAUGAAAAAAAAGUGAUGUUGAUGAAUUUAGAAAUAAAGUUGCGUUUUGAGUUGAGAAAAAUAUGCACUCUAUUCAACUUUUCACUCACCCAGACAUAACCAAAGAAUAACAAACUCUAAUAUCCCCCUAAAAAAUAACCCAAGUUUUCAACCAAUUUAUUCUAAUUAUUUAAGUAAAAUAAAAACUGCAAAUAAAAAAUAAACACCUUUGCCCAUAUUUAAAAAAAAAAUAUUUGUCUAAAACAUGUUGCCUAUGAAACCUUUCCUUGUUUAACCAAUGAGACUGAUUCGUCAGAAGACAGAUUUACUCUACCAAGUUGUAUCAUUUGUAAUUCUCAAAUUAAUUACUCCCUAUACCACAACUGAAAAUCUUUUCUGCAAAAGAUUCAAUCUUCUGGGCGAGAGGUAGUGAGGUAUGCAAAGAUAUUUAAGUAUAGCUCUUGGGUUCAUGUAUGCUGCUGCCAAGUCACUUUGCUGUUUUAACAGUAUUAUAGUCAUCAUUGAGAAAACUAUCCUUUUUGACAAGUAGAUUGAAGGACCAUAAUGAGGAUUUACUGUAUUAGAAUUGAGCAGGAGGUCAUAGUUUAAAAGUUGAUGCUCAUAAUUUUAAGUACUCAUACUCAUGGUCUUGGUUUUUCUAAGACCAUGUAUGAUUAUGGAUCAUUAUUCUAGAUUUAUAUUAUUCUUAUGGAACACCAUGUCAAGGCUGGCCCUACCAAACUUGCAAUCUCAUUUGAGAAUUACAGGUUCAGUGCCCAGCAAAGCAACUAUAAGGACAGUUCUGUGUGUCUUUGCUACUAAUGCUAUAUAGCUCAGAAACCCCAAGAUUGUGCUUCUUUUAAAAAUCAGCCGUUAGACACAAUUAGCUCUAAGCAAAGGCAUUCAUUGUGACAGCACACUGAACAGUAGUUACAAAGUAUUCGCCACAUGAAUGAGGAGUAGACUCUCCCACAAAUAAACACAGAAACCAUGGGGAAAAGUAUCAAAAUUAGAAUCCAAUUAAGAUGUUUCCUCUGGACACGUGUACUCCCUUGACUUGCUUUGUGAUAGGUAGCAGUACUUUCUAGAGUAGAGGGAAGAGAAAUUAUAGGAAGUUUGAUAGGAAGGAUGAAAAAGGUAAGAAGAGCUGCUGUGCCAAGGAGGAUUGAGUCAGUUAUGGGAGUUGUAAAAGGUCUGCCUUGCAGUGAGAACCCUAAAUUAAGUUUAUGUAACAUAAAUUUGUUGUAUACCUAUUUGUCACAGUUUUGUAAUUUUGUCCCUCUUUAUUUUGCAGCACAUGAGUAGGAGCAAAGACAGUAGAUAAGAGGAAUAAUGUGGGACUGUGAAUGGGCAGGGCAAGAUCAGCCUUUGGAUAAAGGACAAGGAAUUCAAGAAAAAAGAACUAUACAGUUAAACUAGGAAAGAUAGGGAAGAGAGGAGAGUGGUAAUAGGAUGAGAAAAAAAAAACUGGGGUUCAGGAUCACAGUGAUGAAAAAGGUGAGAGCAAUCUCAACAGAUUUUGAAGACUUAAGAUUUCAGAAUUCCUGAACAUAGAAGUGGAGCAUUUGUGAAUGGUGGAGAAAUGAAUAAGCUGAGGAACUGGGAAGUUAGGGUGUUUGAGAGAAUAUCAAUAUGCAUGAUGCCAACUAUGCAGACAAAAACUGAGGAGGAGAGAAUGACUUCAAACCAUUGUCUGAAAUCACUGAAAAAAGAAGAGAGUCCUGGAGUUCAGACAAAUACCUAGCAGAAUUUUGAUGGUGUGGAAAAUAUGGAUUGAGUAAACCUUAAAAGGGGAGAGAUACUGAAUAAUGGUAGUAGAGAGGAGCAAGAAAUAUUGCAUCCCGACCCCACCACACACAUGACAUACAUAUAUACAUAUACAUGUUGGCCAAGGAAUUGGGGGGAGGAGGGUUGAGGGAAGGAGAAAUGAGGGAAAGUGCAACCAGGCCUGGAAAGGGUAACCAAAGAAACUGGGAUCAAGAAGAUACCAGACUUCAUGAGAGCCUAAAGAUGAAAGGAAUAAGAAAGAAAAUAAUUUUAAAGAAAGCACAUUUAUAACCUAUAGAUUAGGCAUACCUCAGGAGAGCAUUGUGGAAGAAAUGGGUGAUUUUAAAGUGGGACAUAAGAGAUGGGGGGAGUUGUGAGAGGAAUGGAAAAAAAGAAAACAAUCAGUGAGGUACUGAGAAAGGAGUUUAAAUAAUGGCAGCCAAGAGGCCAAAAUCACUGGGAUGGAUAGAGUGUGAGGGGUGGGUGUCUGUUAUUUUGGAGGGAAUGAGUUCAGGUAGGUUUAAGUAUACCUCUGGGUUUGGCCUCAGGUCACUAGGCAGCUCAGAAGAGGGGACCAUUAUGGGGUUCCCAAUGGAAUUACUUUUCUCUCCUAAGGGAAGGCUAAGCCAGGCCAGGAGACCAUUAUUAAACAGUACUUAACUUCAUAUUUCAAUACCUUAAAGCUCUGUGUUUUCAUCAUGAUGGAUAUUGCCUCUAUAGAUGCAGAUUAUAUCUUUUUCAGUUGCUGUGGGGAAAAAAAAUCACCAUCAAAUUAGGCCUAAUAAUGUAACUAUGGUGGGCAUCAGCAACACCUGUGCAAUCACCAGGUUCAUGUUUCUAAUUAGUUAUGAUAUUGGCUAAGAUAUAUUUUCUUUACAUUGAUAGAAGCCUCAGGAACUCAAAGGUUACUCAGCACACCAGGAUAAAGUAUUAUAGUAGGAAAUAAGAGCAAAAUUAAUUCUAUUCUCCUCAUCAAAUGUAUUCUAAUUUUUAGAUAGUAUUCCUGACUGACCUAGUUCCCAGAUUUAGAGUACUACUGAUGAAAUGCAAAUAGCAGAAAUCAGAAAUGGGUUGUAAUCAAUAAAAAAGCAGAUAAUGAAAAAAAAAAAGAUUAAAUCGAGGGUAAAAUGACUUUCUUGUCUCUUUCUCAUCAGUCAGUGAAUCAAUAACCAGAGUUCAUCAAGGACCUACUAUGUGCCAUACGAUAUGCUAGAUAUGCUAGACAUAAUAGGAAUAAGAAUAUAGUUUGUUUACUUAAUCAUUAAAGCCCUGACUAGAACAUGCAAUAUUUUUCAUUCAUCUAUUUCAUUUUUUUUAAACUCUUAUCAAUGACUUCCCCAGAAUCACACAGUUAAGAAGUGUCUGAUACUAGAUUUGAACCCAGGUUCUCUAGUCUCUAGGCCUAGCUCUCUUAUCCAUCUAGCCACCUAGCUGCCUCUUUGUUCACCUCUUUCCUAAAUUAACCUACAGAACUAUUUAUGCAGAAUACAAGAAUGACUCCACUACAGGGAAAAGAUUUUUUAAAAUGAAUUUUCCUAAAAAUAGCAUACAAGUUAAACUGUUCCAAACCACAAUUCCCCUCCCACUUCAUACUAUCUAUCCUAUCACCACAUCCCAUAAGCUACAACUGUGUCCUUUUUAUGUGAUUUGUCAUUAGCUGUUACAACAUAAACCAUUCCCAUAUGGCUUCCCUUGGCUUAUAGCAGCUUGUUAGCAUCACCAGCUGACGAUGUGUCUUAGUUUCUCCACUAUUUUACUCAAGACUGAGGCAACAAGGAAUCAAGAAGGGCUCUUACAAGAUAAGAAUGAGACUAUAAAUAAGGAAAAAUGGGAUAUAUGCCUUUUAGCUGCUUUUAAACUGUGUAUUAUUUGCUAAAUAACAUACUGACUUAAUUUAUCACCAAAAGACAUUUAACCUAUUUUUUUUACCUUAAACGUUGUGUAGUUGCAUGUAAAUUUAGCAAGGGAGAUCAGGGGAGUCCUAGAUCAAAACUGUGAUAGGGAGAAAGAUCAGGGAAUUCCUGAUCCUUCUUUCUAUUACAUAAAUAAUGCCCUUUCCCCCCAGUCACGUGGAGGGAAGAAAGUAACUCUAAAAAUAUGUGUGCUUCUGAAGACUGUACAGUAGACCACACUUUGAGGUUAGAGGAGUAAUGAUGAGAACAUAUUUUUCCUCAUUCCAUAUCUAACACAGCUAUGCCUAGGUAUUAGGAUGAUAGGUGCUAAAGAAAUUGUAAAUAUCAUCGAGGGAAGCUGCUUAGUUUUUGUUAUACUGCUAUAUUGAAAUACUACUUUGUUUACAAUAUUUCAACUCCAAAAAUCCUCAUCAAUUAUUAAAUAGUUUCCUCAUUGAAUUAAGUAGGAUGGCAACAUUUUAUAAAUAGAAAAGAACAGAUAACAGGUGGAACUCAAGAUUUACUCUAAAGAUGAAAAUGCAGAAUACUGCAUUCUAUAAACAAACUGUUAGAGGACUCUGUUACAAACACUCUCCAGAAUGAUUUAUAUCCUAUAUUAGCAACAUAAAGAGAAAGAAAAAGAAUUCAAACCCCAUUCUUUUCUACCUCUUUGAAGUUUAAAGUUUCUGUUUCUUCUUACAAUGGGUGAAACUUUCCUAGUCCUUCACUUUACUGGGUUCUGCCGAAGUGGAGGGUUAUUGAAACCUGUCAAAUGUAUAUAGUCAAUUUAAUAAAUUGGAAAACCUUAAUUAAGCAUAUUGGUCUUUAGGGCACUCUGUUUAGCACCAGGGAAGAUAUAAAGUUUGGAAAAAACAUGACCCAGGGGCAGCUAGGUGGCUCAGCAACCAGGCUUAGAGACCAGAAGUCCUAGAUUCAAAUAUUACCUCAAAUACUUCCUAUUAUGUAACCCUGGACAAGUUGCUCAACCCCAGUCCUUACUCCUCUUCUGUCUUGGAACAGAUACUUAGUAUUAAUUCUAAGACAAGAAGGUAAGGGUGUUUUAAAAGACAAAAGAAAAGACACAUUCCCUAUCUUCUUAAGAAAGAGAGGACAAGUAGACAAAUGUAUGGGUAAAAGCAAUGUAUGGUAAGUAUAUAAAAAAUGUGCAUAGUACAUUGUGAUCCCCAACAGGGCUAGGGAUAGGCCAUUAUCAACAUAAAGAAUUUAGUGAAGGCGUCAUAGAAGAGUGAGCAAUACAGAGAUCUUGAUUUUUUAAAAUAUCAUUCCAGAUAGAUGGAACAAUAUGGACAAAGGCACCAAAACAGGAAAGUAUGAAGGGUAUUGGGGGAAUGACAAGGAGUUCAGUUUUGUUAGAAUACAUAUGACAUGCCAGGUAAGAGUGUGAGAUAAGCUUGGAAAAGUAAGAUGAUUACUCUAAUGGAAAGCCCCAAACACCAAUCAUAGGGGGUUGAACUUUACUAGGUAAACAAUUAGAGCAUCAUUAAAAGCACUGAGCAAUGGAGUUAUAUAAUCAAAUCUAUGCCUAAGGAUAAUAAAUCAAGCAUUGGUGCAAAGGAUAAGUUUGAAGAGAGAAAGAGAAGGGAGAUGGGAAGAACUAUUAGCGUGCCAUUUGCAAUAGUCUAGACAAGCGGUAAUGAAGACCUCUAGUUAAGGUACAAAUUGAAAGGAAAGCACCAAUGUUGUGCUAGACAGUGUGCUAAAUAUGGCGGGAAAUACAAAUGUAUAAGACAUGGUCCCUAUUAAGAACUAUCCUCAUGUUUACCCUCCUCUGUAUUGUCAUACUUGUACCUGACACUGUCUGCCUCACUUUCCUCUGUAAAAAUAAAACUAAUAAUUUCCUAAUGCUGUUGUGAAGAUAAAAUGAAAUAAUAUUUGUAAAGUGCUUUGCAGCCCUUAAAGAGCUACAAAAUGUUUGCUAGCGUUGUUAUUAUGUAGGUCCAACCUUUGAAGAAUCUACCUCUCCUACCUUAACUCCAACCAGAACAGAAAUGUUUCUCAAAAGUUAAUGUUGUGGAUAGAGUGAGCGUCCAUUGGUUAAGAGAUAUAGUCCUCAAUUGGAACUGUGGAUUGAAUCAAGGAAGAUUUUUCUUUUUAUCAACAGGGUCAGAACCCUAAAAUUCAUAAAUAGUUUCUGCCAUGCAUAGAUUGCUAUGGAAGGUUGUAUAAUCCCAAAGGGUGGAGUUGAGGAAUAGCCCUGUGCGACUUCAAGAAACAAAUGGAGAUUCAACCAUGGCUUGGAGUAAUUACUUUUGACCUCUGCUUCCUCUGUUCUUUUCUAGUUAUGAGUCAGAAGAAAUCUGGACUAAGUCUUUUCUUAUGACUUUUUCCUGUCAAAAUACAGAACAAUAAAGAAGCUGAAGAGUCUCUAUACCUCUCUGCAGAGCUUGCUGCUGGCUUCCAUGAACUGUUGUCCACAUGCCUGAGUUUGUUAGGCAGCCGCCUAGAUAAGAAACACAUGGCUGGAUUUGCUAUGGAAAUCUAGAUGUGCCGCCUAUGUAAUUUUAUUCUUCAGUGUGUGCAUGUGUAACGACUUGUGCCUGUUCAUGUUUGACUUCUUGUGUUUUUUUAAACCACUUAUUAAACAUUAGUAUCUCUUAUAGUCACAUGUUAAUAAAACUAUUUCUGUAAUUUGGUCACAGAGCUAUUUAUACAUAUCCCUUGCACCUAGUUCCAUGGUCAUUGAACAGGAACAUCUUAUAUUGCCAUUUUAUCUGGAAGAAUCAAAGUUUAAAGAGAUGAGGUGGGAUUUACUAAAGCUUUGAUGGUAGAAGCUCGAAUAGAGCCCAGGGUUCUGCUUCAGAGGCUUUAAACUUGGACCAAGUUCCCUAGAAAGUAGACAGACAUGGCCAUGAAUAUAUUAUACUCUUUGAUGUCAAAGUGUAAUAAGUUACACUGAGAAUCUACAAAAGCUCAGAAUACUUUUCCCAUAGCUGAAUCACCAGAGAAUUCUUGAAAUCUUAAUACAAAUGGAUGAUUUUUAACUUGAUGAAGUUUUGAAGAUAAUUUAGAUGAUGAAAAGUGUUUUGCUAAGACAUGUCAUUGGAAAAAAAUUUUUUUAAACCCCUUCCUUCCAUCUUCCUUCCAUCAAUACUGUGUAUUAGUUACAAGGCAGAAGAAUGGUUAGGGCAAGUCAAAUGACUUGCUCAAGGUCAUAGAGCUAGGAAGUAUCAGAAGGUAAAUUCAAACCCUGGAUUUCCCUUCUCUAGGCUUGCCUCUCAAUCCACUGAGCCACCUAGCUGCCCCAACACACACACACUGAAAAUUAAAGGGGCAAGGUCUUAAAGUAAAUUUAUCAAAUUAGAAACUCAGAUUCCAUGCAUAAUUAAGAAGAUUUUUAUCUUACUGAAUUGGUCAUUAAAUGGAUAUUUUCACCAGAAAGUUGUAAAUACAUUAGAAAAACAGAAUUUCCUCCUUUUAUAUGGACAAGAAGUAGUGGUCAAUGCUCUUGACCUUCAAUUUUUCACUUAACCCUUUUCUACCUUUAUAUUCCCAUCUGGAGCAAUACUGGCUUGUAAAGGAAGUUCCAGCUCAUGGAUCUGAAACAAUAUUAUUUUAUUACUAUUACCCCCAACAGAAAAGCCAUUCCUUCCAGCAAUAAUAUGACCCUAUCUUGAUAAACCUUUUCCAGAGAAUAUGUCUGUCAGAUUAAUGAAAGAUGGAAGUCUCAUUGGUUCAUGGAACUCUUUAAGUGAAUGAGCAGUACUGGAAUUACUAAGAAUUCUUUUUGGUGGAGAAAGAAUUUUCAGUUUUAUUUGUUUAUUUUCUUUUUACAUUACAUAUAAUUUCCAUUUUGUAAGAAGUCUCUUAUAACAAAGUAAAAGAGUUAAAUAAGACUAAUAAUUAAGUGACCUCAUCUGAAAGAACCUGCAGCGUUUCACAUCUAAAAUACACACACCCUACCUUUUUUCUUUAAUUAACAGAAAUAUAUUUUCUCUCCAUCCUAUUUCCCCUCCUACUCCAUUUUUAGGGGAGGGAAAAAAGAAGAGAAAACAAAUUUCUUAUAACAAAUAUAAACUUUCAAGAAAAGCAAUACCCCCUGUAGUUGUAAACAAAAAAAAUAUAUGUAUUAUCCUACAUCCAAAAUUCAUCACCUUUCCUUAAUGAAUGCCAUAUUUUCAUCACUGGCCCUCUGGAAUCAUGAAAAGUUAUUGUAUUGAUCAUAAUUCUAACAGCUUUGAAAGUUUGUUGUUUGUUUUUAGUGUUAUUUUCAUUGUAUAAAUUGUUCUCUUGACACUAUUCAUUUCAUUCUUCAUCAGUUUGUAAAAACCCUCAAAAUCAUUCAUUUUUAUAAUAUUAAUGUUAUAGAAUAAACUAUUUUUUUCUGAA